CAGCUUUUCUAGCCUCCAGGCUUUCUCCCGGGUUCCUAAGUCUGUAUGUGCUCACUGGAAAUGCCCCAUGACUUGGGGUGACAUGGAAAAAAUUCAAACUUAGAUGAUUUCCGAAGAUCUUAAUAAUCAGGACAACCGUGAACUUCUCAUGCAACCGUCAAUGCCUGAGACAAUGGAGUGAAAGCUACCAGAUCCUUAAGAGAAAAGUGUCCCCCAGGACUCUUAAAGCCACCAGCCCUGAUGUUGGCCACGGGAAAAGACAAUCAAGGAAAAUCUCCGACCUUCGGUGAAAUGCAGAGACUAAGGGACCCCUGUGCUGCGUGUGAUGCGAUUUUGAGAGAAAAAAAAAAAAAAAGGCCAGGUGUGGUGGCUCACGCCUGUAAUCCCAGCACUUUGGGAGGCCCAGACAGGAGGAUCC
Molecule: long non-coding RNA, 418 nt
Organism: Homo sapiens (human)
Lineage: Eukaryota; Metazoa; Chordata; Mammalia; Primates; Hominidae
Product: long intergenic non-protein coding RNA 1585
Source: Ensembl